AUGUUGUUGCGAUAGUAAUCCUGCUCAGUACGAGAGGAACCGCAGGUUCAGACAUUUGGUUCAUGUGUUUGGCCGAUCGGCCAAUGGUGCGAAGCUACCAUCUGAGGGAUUAUGACUGAACGCCUCUAAGUCAGAAUCCCACCUAGACAAGGCAACGAUAAAUUUGCUCCCCGAUGUCGGGAGGCACUAUUAUGUAAUAAAUAUUUUAUUACAGCUAAUGCCCCAUUAUAUGGUCUUGCUAAUUAAUCGAAUGGUUAAGUGGUUGCCAAAACCGGAUUACUCUGGUACAGUGUCGGGGCGCAAAAUCACUUGAAGACGACUUGAUUACUGGUCAAGGUGUUGUAAGCAGUAGAGCAGCCUCCAUAUUGCGAUCUGUUGAGACUUAUCCUUUGAUUGGACGAUUU
RNAcentral lists this non-coding RNA (404 nucleotides) under Onchocerca volvulus. RNAcentral's name for it is "Eukaryotic large subunit ribosomal RNA". It matches the Rfam family "Eukaryotic large subunit ribosomal RNA", at positions 3005 to 3399 of the family's 3401-position model. The record is from Rfam by way of RNAcentral. Lineage: Eukaryota; Metazoa; Nematoda; Chromadorea; Rhabditida; Onchocercidae.